Spinacia oleracea (spinach) is the source of this 1163-nucleotide long non-coding RNA. RefSeq lists it as uncharacterized. NCBI's taxonomy places the organism in Eukaryota, Viridiplantae, Streptophyta, Magnoliopsida, Caryophyllales, Amaranthaceae. The transcript has 3 exons. The record is from RefSeq and is a predicted model, not a curated record.
UGCUUCCUCUUCACUCUACUUUUCAGUAUAUACAAUUCAUAAUUUGUCCCAUUUUCUUGAACCCAACGAUCAGUAAACAAAAAUUGAAAAUCAACACCACCAUUGCCGCCUCUUUCUCCCCUUCGUUGCACCCUUCGCUGCAACCACCCUCUGCCACCAGCGCCUGCCACCUUUAACACCACCCAGAACCACCCCCAACCACCGUCAACCACCCUCGCCUUUCCCUGCUCGCAACUUCGCACACCCCUGCCCCCCCCCCUUUCGUCCCUUUGCUGCACCACCCAACCUUGCAGCCAACACAACCGGCCAUCGCACCACCUUCUAAAUUCAUCUCCGUUCCAAUUUCCCGACGAACGGCUGUUACCGCCGCCCAGAACAGCCCGGAAAAUACCCCCUCCCCUGUUUUUCCCCUGUAUUGCGCGACUACCCUUUUCUCUUUUCUUGCGGUUCCGUCGCCGAAAAGCCAACCACCAUCACCGGCGCACCUUCGCGCCGCCGUGCCGCCCAGGAUUCAGCCACCUCCGUCCCUUCUUCCUUCUUCCUUUCCUCUCUCCUCUGUCGUGCCGUGGCUCUGCCCUCCCCCUGCUUUCCUGUUCUUCGUACCCAACUUCAAAAAAAAGGGGGAGAGACAAGUUCCAGUAAUUGGAACUUUGGUAUUUUAUUUCUCAAAUUAAGCCCAACCCUUUGUUUUGGCCCAAUAUCCCAAAAAAUCGAACUCGGAGCUCAGGACGAACGAACCAAGGAAAAAGGCCUGUCAAAUCGUGGAAUUGAGGUACUGCUGGGGACCACGGAAACGAGUAGUGGCGAGGAUUUCACCAUUACCAUGUUCACCUAGGUCAAUGUCAAGUUGUAACAAGUUUAAGUAAAGAUUCUUGAUUAAGUUACGUCCUUUUAUUAAGGAAUUAAAAAGGAUUAUUAUGUUAAUUUUGGAGUUUAAUAACUUAUGAUUGAUAGUUGCCUUGUAAUUCUCAAGAGAGAGUUACGGCAGGUAAUGUCCCGACCAAAUUAGGUUAAUUCCGCUGCUAAUUAUGAUUAAAUAAUUGAAUUAGAGGUCGGGGUGUUACACUGUAUCAACCUUAGCUCAAACUUGUAAAAUUGCUGUUCAAGUUGAACUGCUUUCUGAUCACUUUGAACAGCUACUGUCCUAACUCCUAGCCUUUUGU